CUGAAACCAGUAGUGAAGUAUGUUAUUUAAUUCGUAGUUACGCGAAAAACCUUACCACAACUUGAAUAUUAUCAUUGAGAAAAUAUUUAGCUCAGACUAAAUAGAAGUAUAAAUAGAUAUUACAAGCGUUGCACGGCUGUCCUCAGUUAAUGUCGUGAGAUAUUGGUUAAUUCCAUUAAAUUAACGGAAGCCCUUGCUUUAUUUGCAAAUUUUAUAAUAAAGCCGUCAACCAGAAGAACGGAUUGAUAAAAGGGAGCAAGACAAGUCAUCAUGGCCUAAAUGUUGUGGGCGAUAGACGUGCCACAUAUUCCUAUACAAAAUGAUGCAAAAAUGUGAAUUUGAGCUAAUCUAAUUAAAGUAGGAUAAAACAAGGAUUGUAGUCUGAAAUUC
This 390-nucleotide ribosomal RNA is filed under the name uncultured bacterium. RNAcentral's name for it is "bacterial SSU rRNA". It matches the Rfam family "Bacterial small subunit ribosomal RNA", at positions 925 to 1313 of the family's 1533-position model. The record is from RNAcentral.